UGGGGAACCUUGCGCAAUGGCCGAAAGGCUGACGCAGCGACGCCGCGUGGGGGAUGAAGGCCUUCGGGUUGUAAACCCCUGUUGCCCGGGACGAACAACACCAUUCGUGGUGUCUGACGGUACCGGGUGAGGAAGCACCGGCUAACUCUGUGCCAGCAGCCGCGGUAAUACAGAGGGUGCGAGCGUUGUCCGGAAUCACUGGGCGUAAAGGGCGCGUAGGCGGUCUGCUAAGCGUGUGGUGAAAGCUCGGGGCUCAACCCCGAGUCGGCCGUGCGAACUGGUGGACUUGAGCAUGUCAGAGGCAGGCGGAAUUCCGGGUGUAGCGGUGGAAUGCGUAGAGAUCCGGAAGAACACCGGUGGCGAAGGCGGCCUGCUGGGACAUGGCUGACGCUGAGGCGCGACAGCGUGGGGAGCAAACAGGAUUAGAUACCCUGGUAGUCCACGCCGUAAACGAUGGGCACUAGGUGCUUGGGGGAGCGACCCCCUGAGUGCCGGCGCUAACGCA
RNAcentral lists this ribosomal RNA (505 nucleotides) under uncultured bacterium. Its description in RNAcentral is "partial 16S ribosomal RNA". It matches the Rfam family "Bacterial small subunit ribosomal RNA", at positions 355 to 859 of the family's 1533-position model. The record is from RNAcentral.